GAAGAAUUAGGAUAAAUUUUAGUCUGGGGGUCUUCAAAAUCCCAGGUAGAGUGUAAUUUUAUUCUUUU
Molecule: transfer RNA, 68 nt
Filed under: Cephalodiscus hodgsoni
Lineage: Eukaryota; Metazoa; Hemichordata; Pterobranchia; Cephalodiscida; Cephalodiscidae
Description: tRNA-Trp
Source: RNAcentral